UUACAGAUACAAUCGACUUAACAUUACAUGAUAGUAAAAACAGCCUUACGAGAUUCGUGUACUUAUAUCUGUCAAACUAUUGUUCACCGCCAAAAUUCCCAAUUAUACAUGGGGUCUGUAUAUUUUAACAAAAAGAAGAACAAAUGUAUUUUACCAUACUCAAUUCACGAGGAUACAUCUAUCGGCAUAAGUUUUGAUAUAUGGUAACUCAAAAUAGAACAAGUAUAAAUGUUCUGGACUGCUUGUUGUAAUCAGUUGUACCCUUUCACUCGUGAAAAUGCCAUUCCUCUGCAGACCUGGUAUUCAUAGAUUCGAACAUAUAGAAACUCUCAACAACAAUUUCCAAGUGAAGGAAAGUAAUCAAUCAAACCAAGAUAAAUUAUUAUUUAGUACCAAUAGUAUAAUUAAGCUUAGUGGACAAACCUUCAUGAAGGUAGCAAGAGUUUCUGCAAAUUUGUGGAAGUACAUCUCUCAAUCAGCACUUUACUGCAUGUUUCGGUUAUUUUGACUGCUACAAUUCAAUUUAUAACUGAUAUACGUAAAUUAUUUCAAUUAAAAAAAUAACAGAGCAAACAAACAUAUUUUAGUGGAUCUACACUAACAAAAGAAAAACAGUUACAUACCCUUGAGCGAAACUCCUGUUCAAGUAAAAUGAUGCAUCUGUAUUAUCUGUUAUGUUUUUUUUAGCCCCUAUCAUCUAAAUAUGCAAGAAUGAAAACACUUAUUAUCAGCAAUUAUAUAUGAAACAUAAUCGCAUUAUAUGGAAUAAAAACCAAACAAAGUUAACCCUUUACCUUUGCUAAGCACCACAUCAUAUAUAAAUCUAGAAUUUGGCAAAGUAGCAAUCUUCUCAUAAGCCAACUGAAGUAAAGGAAUAUAACAACCACUUCAGCUACAAAGUAAUAAUACUUCGAAAUUAAUAGAAAGAGGAGAUCAAAUUAUUCCAAUGUACCGAAAUUAGUAACUUUAUCUCACAUUGUAGAGCACAUUGGAGCAAUUUAUCCAAUAGGUACCACCUCGCUGAAGUUGUUGGAAACACCUACAGACCUUUUUUAAAAGCUGAAAAAUAACAGAUAUUAUAAUUAGAAAACUCUUUGGAACUUAAAAACAAGAAACCACUACGAAGUAUUUUUCAAUACUUUAUCAACAAAGGGAACUGCUAUAUACCUCUUAUUUGUAAGGUAUGCAAGAUGCAUAUUAACAUGUUCUUAUUGUUCUUUCAACUCGGUCGAAAUAAAAGAAUAACCAAUUUUUUUUUCAAUUUUAACAUUUUUAUUUGGACUCAAUAGCUAUAGCAACAUCUCAUAAAUGCCCAAACACUAGACAACUCGGUGGGAAUAUAACAUAAGAGAAACAAUAUGUUCUAGAAUUCUAACCAUAAUGUUUAUCCUUCUAAGACUUUCAUUAGAGUUAUUAGAAGUAAGACAACAAUUCAUUGACAACAUGACUUGUCUUCGUUGUCGGUCUACGAAUAGUAUGAUGAAAAACACUUUCAGCUCAAAGACAGAGAAAUACAUUCAUUCACUCAAAUGAAAAAAAUAAGAUGUUAACUGCACAAAGUUUUAUCACGGCUGCAGAAUUAUAUAUAAAUUGAUUCAAGGAAUAGAACAGACACGUCUUCAAUAAACUGAAUUAUAAACAUUCUUAAUUCAACAUUACACUCAUUAGAGUUGAAAAACAAAAGAAAAUAACUCAUUUCAAUUCCAUCUAAAAAUAACUCAAAAUCAAUAUAAUUGAGUUGUGUGCAAAUAAAUCUGAACAAAUUGAUGUGUUCAAUAAACUAAUACCCAAAAAAAAAUGAAGUUUCUUAAUUUCAUCAGAAAAGAAAUCGAAGAUUCAAUACAUAUUCCGCAUAUUAAUCCCAAAAAGACAAGCAACAACAAUUAAAACCUAGAAAAAAAAACUAAUAACGGGGAAAAAGUUUUACCUCGAAGGCAUAUUAUAAGGAACGGAUUGUGCUCUUCGAAUUCUUUUGCGAGACUCUGCCGAAAAUUGGGGAAAGAAAGAGAGGGAGGAAAACUAGAAGCUGUGUGA
Molecule: long non-coding RNA, 2034 nt
Filed under: Erythranthe guttata (spotted monkey flower)
Lineage: Eukaryota; Viridiplantae; Streptophyta; Magnoliopsida; Lamiales; Phrymaceae
Description: long non-coding RNA (EGUT_LNC003901)
Source: RNAcentral